ACAUCCAUGGACGAAGUCUGAUGGAGCACGCCGCGUGAGUGAAGAAGGUUUUCGGAUCGUAAAACUCUGUUGUAAGGGAAGAACAAGUGCAGUAGUAACUGGCUGCACCUUGACGGUACCUUAUUAGAAAGCCACGGCUAACUACGUGCCAGCAGCCGCGGUAAUACGUAGGUGGCAAGCGUUGUCCGGAUUUAUUGGGCGUAAAGCGCGCGCAGGCGGUUUCUUAAGUCUGAUGUGAAAGCCCCCGGCUUAACCGGGGAGGGUCAUUGGAAACUGGGAGACUUGAGUGCAGAAGAGGAAAGUGGAAUUCCAAGUGUAGCGGUGAAAUGCGUAGAGAUUUGGAGGAACACCAGUGGCGAAGGCGACUUUCUGGUCUGUAACUGACGCUGAGGCGCGAAAGCGUGGGGAGCAAACAGGAUUAGAUACCCUGGUAGUCCACGCCGUAAACGAUGAGUGCUAAGUGUUAGGGGGUUUCCGCCCCUUAGUGCUGCAGCUAACGCAUUAAGCACUCCGCCUGGGGAGUACGGUCGCAAGACUGAAACUCAAAUGAAAUUGACGG
RNAcentral lists this ribosomal RNA (559 nucleotides) under Lysinibacillus alkaliphilus. RNAcentral describes it as "bacterial SSU rRNA". It matches the Rfam family "Bacterial small subunit ribosomal RNA", at positions 365 to 916 of the family's 1533-position model. Lineage: Bacteria; Bacillati; Bacillota; Bacilli; Caryophanales; Bacillaceae. The record is from RNAcentral.